CAGGACGAACGCUGGCGGCGUGCUUAACACAUGCAAGUCGAACGGAAAGGCCCUGCUUUUGUGGGGUGCUCGAGUGGCGAACGGGUGAGUAACACGUGAGUAACCUGCCCUUGACUUUGGGAUAACUUCAGGAAACUGGGGCUAAUACCGGAUAGGAGCUCCUGCUGCAUGGUGGGGGUUGGAAAGUUUCGGCGGUUGGGGAUGGACUCGCGGCUUAUCAGCUUGUUGGUGGGGUAGUGGCUUACCAAGGCUUUGACGGGUAGCCGGCCUGAGAGGGUGACCGGCCACAUUGGGACUGAGAUACGGCCCAGACUCCUACGGGAGGCAGCAGUGGGGAAUAUUGCACAAUGGGCGGAAGCCUGAUGCAGCAACGCCGCGUGCGGGAUGACGGCCUUCGGGUUGUAAACCGCUUUCGCCUGUGACGAAGCGUGAGUGACGGUAAUGGGUAAAGAAGCACCGGCUAACUACGUGCCAGCAGCCGCGGUGAUACGUAGGGUGCGAGCGUUGUCCGGAUUUAUUGGGCGUAAAGGGCUCGUAGGUGGUUGAUCGCGUCGGAAGUGUAAUCUUGGGGCUUAACCCUGAGCGUGCUUUCGAUACGGGUUGACUUGAGGAAGGUAGGGGAGAAUGGAAUUCCUGGUGGAGCGGUGGAAUGCGCAGAUAUCAGGAGGAACACCAGUGGCGAAGGCGGUUCUCUGGGCCUUUCCUGACGCUGAGGAGCGAAAGCGUGGGGAGCGAACAGGCUUAGAUACCCUGGUAGUCCACGCUGUAAACGGUGGGUACUAGGUGUGGGGUCCAUUCCACGGGUUCCGUGCCGUAGCUAACGCUUUAAGUACCCCGCCUGGGGAGUACGGCCGCAAGGCUAAAACUCAAAGGAAUUGACGGGGCCCCGCACAAGCGGCGGAGCAUGCGGAUUAAUUCGAUGCAACGCGUAGAACCUUACCUGGGUUUGACAUGGAUCGGGAGUGCUC
This 968-nucleotide ribosomal RNA is filed under the name Cutibacterium acnes. RNAcentral's name for it is "bacterial SSU rRNA". It matches the Rfam family "Bacterial small subunit ribosomal RNA", at positions 25 to 1001 of the family's 1533-position model. The record is from RNAcentral. Lineage: Bacteria; Bacillati; Actinomycetota; Actinomycetes; Propionibacteriales; Propionibacteriaceae.